Podarcis lilfordi (Lilford's wall lizard) is the source of this 23704-nucleotide non-coding RNA. Lineage: Eukaryota; Metazoa; Chordata; Lepidosauria; Squamata; Lacertidae. The record is from the annotation of a GenBank genome assembly.
GUUUGUGUUAGUGUGAUCUGUCUGAAGUGAAACAGACAGAGGAGAUCCCUAAACGUUAAUAGGGAGAAACCUGAGCAUGAGAUUGUCAAUACAUUCUUCUAAGUUAUAGAGUGUGUCACAUGCCUGUUUACACUCCAGCAUAGCUUGCUGGGAACUUCCAUUUGUGUACAGUGGUACCUCGGGUUACAGACACUUCAGGAUACAGACUCCGCUAACCCAGAAAUAGUACCUCGGGUUAAGAACUUUGCUUCAGGAUGAGAACAGAAAUUGCGUGGCAGUGGCAGCGGGAGGCCCCAUUAGCUAAAGUGGUACCUCAGGUUAAGAACAGUUUCAGGUUAAGAACGGACCUCCAGAACGAAUUAAGUUCUUAACCUGAGGUAUCACUGUAUAUGAAAGUAAAGUUGGGGUUUUUUGGAAAAUAUAAAGACUCUGGACAUUACAUAUCAUCACAAUUUAUUUAUCUAUGUAUACACAACAUUGCUUGCAGGCUUCCCACAGGGACCUGCUUGGCCAGGGUGAGAACAUGUUGAUGGGCUUUUGGUCUAAUUCAGUAGGAUUAUAUAUAUAUAUAUUCUCAUAAACAAUGGUGAUAUGAUUAUUGUGAAGCCAGAAACCAUCGCCAAUGGCCACUCCAAUUCUUAGAAUCAUAGGGUGGUAGUACUCAUGCUAUGGCCCACAGGCAACAAUAUAUUUUAGUAGCGGAUUUCUCUGCCGACGGCUACUAGCCUCCACUGAAUGCCACUUUGCUGGGAAUCACAAGUAAGGAGAGGUCGUGUCAUAGUCCCAUUGCCGAGCAACAGUAUUGAGGACAAAGAGAAGAGUCUCUGAAAUAUACCCUUGGCAGCACCAGCAUAUGAAGUCAAGUCUGUUCUGAGGGUUGGACAAACAGCAGUCCACAUAGCCAGACAAUCCAGCGGUCGAGGAGUCUGAUGUUCACGAAGCCGUGGGUCCAGAUGGACAGCAGGAAGCAACAAGGUUGGACCAGGAACCACAGGCAGGGGCGGAGCAAGGUGGGUGCGGUGGUGGGUGCAGACUGCCCUGGAUGUCACCUCAUGGGGGGUGACAAAAUGUUGUGUGGCACAGCCGUAGGGGGGCUUUUUUGUUGAAAAAAAGCUCAACAGCUCUGGCUCCCCCCAAAAAUCUGAAAGCAAACCAUUUUUGCAGGCAAAAAAAUCAAUAAAAAAAAUCAAUGUGUGGUGGGGUGAAAAGGACUUUUUUGCACCGGGUACCACUUGACCUUGCUACGCCACUGACCACAGGCAUUGUUUCCAUCCCCUGUCUGCUGCUGAAAUCUUUGUUUCAGAAGGCUGAAGCCAGCUGGUUCUCAUCCAUGCCUUCUUCUCCAUGUCUUUGAAGGCUGAUCAGCUGCAGGUGGAGUCACCCCGCCUGCUCCCAUUCCCAGGUUGCUGUUCAGCUGGUGAAGCUGACUCCUUGCCCAUGACAGGUUGUUGCAUUCAGGUCAUGCUUACAGGCUUAUCAUGGAAUCAUAGAGUUGGGAGGGACCACAGAGGUCCUUUAGUCCAACCCCUUGCAAGGCUGGAAUCUUUUGUCCAAUGUGGGGCUCGAACCCACAACCUUGAGAUUCAGAGCCUCAUGCUCUGCCGACUGAGCUGUCUUCUCACAGGCAUCUCGCUGGCCAAUGAGAGAAGAGGAUGCUAGAAUAGAUGAGCCCCUGGCUUGAUCCAGCAGGGCUUUUCCGACGUUCUUAUAUUACCCACCGAUCGCCCAGCAAACACAAAGCACUUCCAUCAAUUUGCAGGAGAUAUUUGCUGAUCUCCCUGACUCUGUGUGGUUCUCAGGUGGUCGUGCAAGUUUGCAUACAUGUUUAUCCAGCCUGGGCUGAAUCAGCACUUUGCAUGCUUACUAGGUCAUGAGCCUUCAGGCAGGACCCUGUUUAUUUUUAUUCCGUGUAUAUAAUGAGCACCAAGCGCAGUGCAGGUACUUUUAUAAAUAUUAAAUGGCGAUACUUUAUUUUAAUUUCCUAGGAUUGCAGGAGGAAUGAGAUUUUAAUGAAAGGAGACCCAGUAGGAAUGUGAGCAACGAGCUCAUAAGCACUUGCUGGAUUGUGUAGCUACAAGCUACAUGGUGGAAUGACUACAAAAAGUAGAGUGGGAGGGGGGGGAUCCGUUUUGACAUGAGGCAGACAAUUCCACAGAGCAAGCACAUGCCGUAUGACAAGUUAUCCAUUUCUCUUAAUAUGGGGCUCUGGGGGCAUGGGGUGGUGCAGAGAGCCCGAGAGCCUAUAUAUAUAUAUAUAUUCUUUCCUUGAUUUAAUGAACAGUUUCCUUGCGUAAUGAGCUCCCUCAGUACUUGGGGUAGGGGUGGGGGGAGACAAGAAGUAGUGAGAACAGAAUAGCUAGUGCUGAAAGUUUUUAAAAUGUAGAAGUCAUGAUGGAUGGAGAGAGAGAGAGAACAUCUAUCUCCUUACUUCUUGUUGUUUAGUCGUUUAGUCGUGCCCGACUCUUCGUGACCCCAUGGACCAGACCACACCAGGAACUCCUGUUUUCCACUGCCUCCUGCAAUUUGGUCAAACUCAUGCUGGUAGCUUCGAGAACACUAUCCAACCAUCUCGUCCUCUGUCGUCCCCUUCUCCUUGUGCCCUCCAUCUUUCCCAACAUCAGGGUCUUUUCCAGGGAGUCUUCUCUUCUCAUGAGGUGGCUAAAGUACUGGAGCCUCCACUUCAGGAUCUGUCCUUCCAGUGAGCACUCAGGGCUGAUUUCCUUAAGAAUGCAUAGGUUUGAUCUUCUUGCAGUCCAUGGGACUCUCAAGAGUCUCCUCCAGCACCAUAAUUCAAAAGCAUCAAUUCUUUGGCGAUCAGCCUUCUUGAUGGUCCAGCUCUCACUUCCAUACAUCACUACUGGGAAAACCAUAGCUUUUACUAUACGGACCUUUGUUGGCAAGGUGAUGUCUCUGCUUUUUCAGAUGCUGUCUAGGUUUGUCAUUGCUUUUCUCCCAAGAAGCAGGCAUCUUUUAAUUUCGUGGCUGCUGUCACCAUCUGCAGUGAUCAUGGAGCCCAAGAAAGUAAAAUCUCUCACUGCCUCCAUUUCUUCCCCUUUUAUUUGCCAGGAGGUGAUGGGCCCAGUGGCCAUGAUCUUAGUUUUUUUGAUGUUGAGCUUCAAACCAUAUUUUGAGCUCUCCUCUUUCACCUCCAUUGAAAGGUUAAUUCCUCCUCACUUUCUGCCAUCAAGGUUGUGUUAUCUCCUUACUUAACACCUUACAUCUCCCACUUCACUGUGCAACAAAAGACAGCCAGGUUUCCUUCCACAGAAGAAAGUACGGCCACAUUCGCACACUACAUUUCAGCAGCCAGAAACACCAUAAUCAGACACUGGAGAGACCUGUCAGGAGUAAGCAUGGACCAAUGGUACCAAAUAGUAUGGGAAACAGCCUUACUAGAAAAAGGAACCAAUAAACUGAAACUGACACGGGGACAAAUAGAAGAAGACGCCUUCACCCCAGUAUGGCUCCCCUUUAUCACAUACACAGCCCAACAAGACAAUGACAAUAAUCCACCAACAGCAUACAAAUCAAUUUGGCUAACCUGAUCCAAAAAACCCACCCACCCCACUCACACAUGAAAACAAAGACCACCACAGCCAAUCACAAACAAACAACCACACCCUAGGCCAACCCCAACCUCUCUCACCACCAAAGGAACACAAGUGAAUAGCAGAGAACCUGCACAAGCAACGCUAACACAAAACCCCACAUAUAUUAAAUAAAAUAGUAACAUCGCCACCCACCCCCACCCCCACCUAUCUCCCCCCCACCUUUUCACUUCUUCUUCCUAAUGUCUCGACAAAUGAAACUGAUCUGUAAAAAAUGUUACCUGGAGAAAAAAAAGAGAGAGACAUUACACAUACUUUUAUAAACUAAGGAAAGAUUUAAUAAAAAUACAUUUAAGAACUACAUUUAAAGGACAAUCAUAGAAUCAUAGAGUUGGAAGGGAUCCUGAGGAUCAUCUAGUCCAACCCCCUGCAAUGGAGGAAAACACAGCUGUCCCAUAUGGGGAUCAAACCUGCAACCUUGACAUUACUGGUGCCACGCUCUAACCAGCUGAGCUAUCCAGUGACAUCAAUUGUAGCACAUUUACAAAAGCUACAGUUUCCCCCAAAGAAUUCUGGGAGGUGCAGUUUGCUAAGGGUGCUGAGAGUUAUCAUUCCCCUCCCAUAUUCAAAGGCCACUUUAGUGAUCAUGGGGAAUCCUGGGAAUUGUAGUUUGGUAAGGGCAUUAAGCAGGGCUUUUUUCCCAGCCGGAACUCGCUAGAACUUGGUUCCGGCACCUUUCAAAUGGGUGCCAUUGCCGUUAUAAGAGAACAAGGGAGGCAGGCGUUCGUGGUGAGUUCCAGCACCUCUUUUUCUAGAAAAGUAACACUGGCACUUAGAGCUGCUAGGCAACUCCUGUUCCCCUUUCAGAGCUCUCAGGGUGGUUUAAGAGUCAAUACUUUUUCAAAGGGAACUGGGAACUGUAGCUCUGGAACGGGAAUAGGGGGGGUCUCCUGAAAAACUCUCAGCACCCUUAAGAAACUACAGCUCCCAGAAUUCUUUGGGGGAAGCUGCAAUUGCUUAAAGCGGUGUGAUAGUGCUUUAAAUGUAUGGCAUGCAUGUGCCCCAUGCGGUCAAAGUUCCUUUUCAUUUUCUGGAAGGAAGAUGUACAGGCCAAGUACAGGUGGCUGCAUCAGUUCUGUGCUGGCAAGAACCCCAGCUGGGACAAACCUGCCUGGCCCAAACUGGAUGUAAGGACUCGUUAACAACUCACCUUUUUAAUUAAAACUCCCUCUUUCUCUCUUUCCCCUCCCUUCACCCUCUUCCUGCCCCUUGUGUGUCCUGGGCUUUUGCCUUACAAGUCUGAGGGCAGGGCCUGGCUCUCGUUUUUGUUGUUUCCCAGCUCCUGCUGGUAGGAUUGUGUCUUGAAUUUUAAUUGAUGUGAGCUGCUUUGGGAGAUGUUUUUUCUCUUUUUGAAAAAGUGAGCUGCUGACAAGUGAGCUCUAUCGCAGACCCCAUCAAGUAUCCCUAUUUUCCGGGGACAGUCCUGGAUUUACAGAAGCUGUCUUGGGGUUUCUGAUUUGAUCCUGAAAUGCCCCACUUUCCCUCUAUUUUCAUUGGAGGGUAAGUUCGGACAUCCCUAUUUUCAUCUGAGAAACGUUGGUGGGUAUGGAGUUAUCUGACCCCCAAGCCAUCUGAAAGCAGCCCUGUAUGGGGAAGGUUUUUUGUUUUUAAUGUUUAAUGUUUUAUUAUGUUUUUUAAAAUGUUGGAAUCCUCCCCUGAAUGGCUGGGGCAACCCAGUCAGAUGGGUGAAGUAUAAAUAGGAAAACAACAAUAACAACAAUUAUUAUAUAGGAUGUCCCUAUUUUCAUGGGAGAAAUGUUGAAGGGUAUGCUAUCGCCAAGCACUGCUACCCUUCAAACUACCAAACAGGGCUGCUAGAAAAACAUGGUUGCCCCCUGGAUCAUGUGAGUCUGUUUAGAAACCUAGUUUGCUAGAAGUUAUUCCUAUCCCUAUUUUCCUCUCUCUCUCUCUCUCUCUCUCUCUCUCUCUCUCUCUCUCUCUCUGUAUGUGUGUGUGUUUAAAAACCUUGCCAGUGAGGACAGCAAUCCUAUUCCCCCAAGAAUUACAUAGUAUUGUUCCCAGGAGCAGCCAUUCACGGAGGAUAAGUGAUUAUACAUUCUUUAUCGACCUUCUGAGAAAAAUACAAAACAUUAAACAAAGCCACAGAGCCUUGCGAACUACCCAACCUAAGAUGAACUUGUAAUGUCUAGUUUCAAUAGGUUUUUCAAAUGCUUAACUCACGUCUUUUAGAUAAGUUCAUGAAGAUACCAACAAAAGGUAAGUUCGGUGUUAUUCACAAUACCAAGAGAUGCUAGUGGAGUUGUAGAUAGAUGUUAAUGAAGUUGUAGAUGACAAGGUGCUGGCGUUUUGCACCUGUUUCGCCCUGGCAGUCCAAGUAAUCAAGAGGCCGCUGUUCGCCCCCGAUGGGGCCCUUUUUACUGGGGCUUGCAGGUAGCCCACUCCCAAGAUAGUUUUCCGGGCUUCUUCAGUGGUCUAAUCUCAAAGUCUUGAUACGUAUAUUGAUAGUCAGUCUUAUAGAGAAUACUCUUUUUUGGCUUAGGCUUAAGAGACUGAUUUGCUAGAACUUGUUCCUAUCCCUAUUUUCCUCUAUAUGUGUGUGUGUGUGUGUGUGUUUUUACAAAACCUUGCCAGUGAGGACAGCAAUCCUAUUUCCCCAAGAAUCCCCCCAGGAAUUACAUAGUCUUGUUCCCAGGAGCAGCCAUUCCUUGAGGAUGAGGCUAUCAAUGACUACUAGCUAUGAUGGUUAUGCUCUGCCUUAACGGUUGAAGGCAGUGAUGCUUCUGAAUAACAGUUGCUGGAAACUGCAGGAGGGGAAAUGUCUCUUCCACUCAUGUCCUGCUUGAAGGUUUCCCACAGGCAACUUGGUUGGCCAUGGUAAGAACAGGAUGCUGGACUAAAUGGGUCACUGGCCUGAUCUAGCAAUCUCUUCUUCGAUUCUUAACCUGCCCCAGGAUUACAGCUGGAGUCACUAUAUUACUAGUGGAAAAUGACAGCAAGGCGUAUUGGGUUGCUUCAGAAAGGAAGAUAAAACUCCAGGCCACUUCAUUGUUAAGACCAAAAAUAAAAAUUAAAAAAUGCAUUAAUUUCCUCCCCAAAUUGAUGAUUAGCUCCCCUCCCCACUUUAGCAAGGGAUGAAUCAUGCUGCAAAAAGACAGCAGAGAGGGGAAUGUAUUCAGCCCAGCACUAAAACACAGGACUAAUGUUUUUAUCAGUAGCAUUUUUAUUCCUAACAGUUGUCCUUUUGUUUUAAAUCUUAUCCUCCUACAAUAUAAUAAAGGGGUUUUUUUUGUUUUGUUUAAAAAGCACCACCAUUUAAUAUUCAUAAAAGCACCUGUUCCGCACUUGGCAUUCAUUACCCACUGCAGAAAAAUAAAAAGGAUUCUUGCCUUUAGGCUCAUAAACUAAUUUCCUUUAUCCAAUUUUAAGCGCUGGGCUUCUAUGGAAAAGCAGUGGAUUUGGCUGGUCCUCGUUCAAAUAUCAACUGCUUCAGGUUAUGUAACAGUUUGCUUGCUAUUAUUUGGUUCUUUGCUUUCUGAAGUGCAUUUGUAAAAAACAGAUAAUCACCCCAAAAUACAAGCAUUUUGACUUUGUCUUGAUAUCCUACCGCAAAAGGAAUUACGGAAACUCACUGAGGAGCAACAAUAAGAAUGUAGUAAGAAGAGCUCUGCUGGAUCAGGAGAGAGAAAGAAGGGAAGCAAGAGCAUUCCAUCAGCCCUCCCUAAAUACAUGUUGUAUCAGGCUCUGCCCUCCAUCACCUGUUGCAUGGCAGCAGCUAUUCCAUCUGGCUGCAGCAGAUAGAUAGAUAGAUAGAUAGAUAGGAACCAGGACCAUGCUUUUCAGCACUACUGAGAGUCCAGCUCCAUUUGACUUCUCUUUUCCCUGAAUUAUCUCCAUUCCAGCUGGUUAUCCACCCACAUUGGGCAGCCCAGACACAGAAGUCCCCCUCCGAGGGUCUUCUGCUAGUCCCCCCACUGUGAGAAGUGAAGUUACAGGGAACCAGGCAGAGGGCCUUCUCUGUAGUGGCACCCACCCUGUGGAACACCCUCCCUUUAGAUGUCAAGUAAAUAGCUAUCUGACUUUUAGAAGACAUCUGAAGGCAGACCUGUAUCAAGAAGUUUUUAAUGUUUGGUGUUUUAUUAUGUUUUUAUAUAUCUAUAUGCUGUAAGCGGCCCAGAGUGACUGGGGAAACCCAGCCAGAUGAGUGGGGUAUAAACAAAAUAAUUACAACAACAACAACAACAACAACAACAACAACAACAACAACAACGGAACCCUGCUAUUUAUGUUUAAGAACUGGCACCUGUUUGCUUGCUUUCGUCUUCCGUCCUCAUGCCUUUUUUCCUUUUAUGCCAUUUCUUUUUGAUAAUAAGCCUACAGGCAGGGACUGUUUUUCUACUGACUGUCUUUCUUAAAGGGAACCUUUCUGACUGAACAGGGUGAGUAAAAAUGCUUUAGUUAAAUAAAUGCGGGUGGGAAUUGCUUCCACAACCGCUGAGCAAAAUGACCCCAAGGAAGAAUGAUGGAUGUUCUACUGCUAAACCUGAAUAUAUGAGAACACUGAAAGAAAGGGAAGAGAUUCAAGGAGGAGGAAGCAGAAAACAAAAUGGGCAACAUUUGCUCUAAAUUGAUAAAUAAAAUAAUGAAGGUUACUGACUCCCAAAAGCCAUCUCUUGCGGUGUCAGUGUUUAAGAAUAACUCCUCGUACCUCUUUUGCAACUCAGUGCCACGAAAAAGGGAAAAGAAAAUGUAUUGUUUCAUCGCUUGGGUGCAUUGAUUUACUGACGUGAUUUAUCACCAUUGGACACCCGGCCCAACAAAUCAUGUUUUGCUGACACCGUCAGCUGACAUAACUACGUUGUCAGUUCCCAAUACUAAAAGGUAAUGGAUGGUGAUUAUUUUACUGUAAUGGCUUUAAUCAGCACUUUGAAUGACUUAGCCGUGGUGUCAUAAUGGCGCAGCUCGUCGUUCAUCACGGCAGCAUUUUGUUUACCAACAUCAUCUAUAAUUCAUUCGAUUGUUGACAGUCAUUGGCAAACGCCGCUCAGGCAAGCGUUUGUCGGAAUGGAAGAUCUGCACAGGGCCAGCAUACUAACUAGUCCCCGGAUGAUCUAAUAGCGUCACCAUUUGUCCAUUCAAUGUAGAAUGCAGCCUAUUUUUGUUUCUACGCUAAUGCAUACACUAGCGGAAGUCAACGUAGCUCCCUCCAGAUGUUGUUGGACUUCAUGGAGAGCCAAUAAACUGAAGCAUAAUCAGAUAAGACAGAUAAUCUGUGAGUGGCAUGGAUGGAGGUUCCCUGCUCCUGAGGGGGUUAUUCUCUCUCUUAAGGAGCAGGUAUGUCGCUUGGGGGUGCUCCUGGAUCUGUUGCUGUUGCUUAAGGUCCAGGUCGCCUUGGUGGCACGGAGUGGUGGCCCACCUACAUUCCUAUCUGGACAGGGAUAGUCUAAUUUCUGUGGCUUAAGCUCUGGCCACCUCUAGGUUGGAUUACUGCAAUGCAUUCUGUGUGGGGCUGCCUCUGAAGACGGUUCGGAAACUUCAGCAGGUGCAAAAUUUGACGGUGAGGUUGCUCACCAGAACAAUGGUUUGAGCAUAUAACAUCAGUGCUGACCUGACUGUGUUGUUGUUGUUUAGCCGUUUAGUCGUGUCCGACUCUUCAUGACCCCAUGGACCAGAGCACGCCAGGCACUCCUGUCUUCCACUGCCUCCCCCAGUUUGGUCAAACAUGCUGGUAGCUUCGAGAACACUAUCCAACCAUCUCGUCCUCUGUCGUCCCCUUCUCCUUGUGCCCUCCAUCUUUCCCAACAUCAGAGUUUUUUCCAGGGAGUCUUCUCUUCUCAUGAGUACUGGAGCCUCAGCUUCAGGAUCUGUCCUUCCAGUGAGCUCUCAGGGCUGAUUUCCUUAAGAAAGGAUAGGUUUGAUCUUCUUGCAGUCCAUGGGACUCUCAAGAGUCUCCUCCAGCACCCUAAUUCAAAAGCAUCAAUUCUUCGGCGAUCAGCCUUCUUUAUGGUCCAGCUUUCGCUUCCAUACAUCACUACUGGGAAAACCAUAGCUUUAACUCUAUGGACCUUUGUGUACUGGCUGCCAAUUAGUUAGCUGCUGGUUAGGGAGUGUGCCAUGCUGCAACCCUUUGUUGCAGGGCCCCAUUUGUUUGAGACCCCUUUCAAUUGUAUAUCACUUUUGGACAUCCGAACUACUACACUUCACAGGUUCUUUCGUGUCUUGGCACUGUGGUUAAGAGUUUCUGAAUGAUCGCUGCGCAUUACUGCCAUGAAUCACAUGCGCAGCUGCACUUAGCUGGGCACCGUUUCCCCGUCAAAAGCACAGAUCUGGCUUUGAAGUGCAUCCUCUUUUCAAAAGAUGAAAUAUGGCUUCAUUCUGCAUCGUUGCCUUUGGUUCUCCCCCUUGUUUUGCUGAUCACUACGCUGUUUCAUUGGUUGACACGUGGAGCUGUUUGAUAUGUUCUUCUUUAUAUUGAAUGUUGGAAGCUGUCCUGUUUUCAUGGGGAAAGGUGAGGGUAUCAAUAGUAAGACAAUAUAACAAAAUAAUGAAAAAGUGACUGACGCCGCUCCCUCCAAAUUUAGACACUUGGCUAUGAAUGUUUUCUCCUGUAUCAUGGAAUAAUAUAUUCCAGGUCUCGUUUGGGCUCAGUAGUGAAAUCAUUACUAUGAUUGCAAGUUGAAUGCUUAAAAUCAGAUCCAUGCCUCAUGUCUUCUUCAGUGGAAUGGCCAUUUUCCGUCUUCAGAAUCCUGAUCAUGUGCAAAGUGCUUUUCCCUCCGAGAUAUACUUGGAGUCAAGUGUGAAUUUCAUGCUCUUGAUUCAGCUCGAAGUAGCAAUGAAUGAAACUUCCCCCAAAACGUCUAGCUAUAUAUACAUUAUUUACACAAUGAGCCCCAUGUGAUUGGCUAAUUCUGGGCUGCUCCGGGCCAAUCGGGUUGCGGAUUCACUUCCUCCAGAAGCCUGAUUGGCUGAUCCUGCAGGCCAAUCAGUUUGCUGAUUCACUUCCACCUGGAGCUGGAUUGGGUGGCUCCUGUGGACCAAUCAGACUGCUGCAUUCUGGAUCCUAUUGUUCUAGGAUUCAGCUCAGUACAUAACACCAUAGCUUGUCCUAUUAAAUUAGAACUGAAGAGCUCCUUGGGCACAUGUAAAAAUUUCCUGAAGGCAUAUUCCUUUCCUCAACUAUUUUAAGAUCAACAAGAACACAAUAGCUGCUGUGGAUUUAGCCGUGAUCCCUGCAUUGCAGGGGGUUGGACAAAAUGAUCCUAUGGGUCUCUUCCAACUCCACAAUUCUAUGAGUCUGUCAUUUCAUCCUCAAUAAUGAGAUGCUGAAGUUUUAUUAUAAAUCAUUUAUUUAAAAAAUAGUCCAUCCAUCUCCUCCUCCUCCUCAAAAGAAAGCUUUUAUAAAAUUCUGUGCUAUGCACUUUCUGGGAUUAUUCAUGUGUCAGCUUCCUGGACUCUCUUUUCCCUAAUACCUGUUAGCUUGUCAGUAUUUCCUUGUAUCAAGCAGCCCAUCUGUAUCUAUUUACACAAAUCCAAUAUUUAUAGACUCGGAGCCUGAUGUUCCCAUACACUGUUUUGACAUGCAUGUAACUCACACAGGGUGGAAUCCUGUCUCGGCCGAGCUUACCUAUUGACUUCAGUGGACUGAGAUUGGAACUGCACUCACACAGAGAAAGCAUGCAGCUCACACUCAGUUAUUUAAGAAGACUUUUAAAAUUCUACCCUGUGCCACACUGGAACCUCUGUUCCAGCUGGAAGCAGAAGCAACCUCACAGAGAAGAUCUGGGGCAUGUUUGCAAACGGUUCUGUUCUCCACAAUCCAUUUUAGAUCUGCUACUCGAAUAAAUUCUUUAUAGCCAAAGCUCCGGUUCACACUAUAGAGUUCUCUAGGAGGUGAGAAGCCCCUGAGAGAAUGCAGUAGUUAGUGAUUCUGGCUGCUACUGCUACAUCAUCUAAGGCAGGGGUCAGUCCACUGUCCCUCAGACCUUUUCGGGGGCCGGACUAUACAGUCAUACCUUGGGUUGAAGUAGCUUUGGGUUAAGCAUUUUCAGGUUGCACUCUGUGGAGACCUGGAAGUAAUGGAGCAUGUUACUUCCGGGUUUCGCCGCUUGCGCAUGCUCAGAUGCUCAAAAUGAUGUCACGCACAUGUGCAGAAGUGGCGAAUCGUGACCCGCGGGUUGUGUUCGCUUCAGGAUGCGAACGGGGCUCUGGAACGGAUCCCGUUCGCAUCCAGAGGUACCAUUGUAUUUUGGAAACGAAUUCCUAUGCCCCACAAAUAUCCCAGAGAUGCCUUUUAAAUAAAAGGACACUUUCUACUCAUGUAAAAACACGCUGAUUCCUGGACCGUCCGCGGGCCGGAUUUAGAAGGCGAUUGGGCCAGAUCCGGCCCCCGGGCCUUAGUUUGCCUACCCAUGAUCUAAGGUGGCAUAUCCUUGCCACCGUCUUGUAGAGGAGCUACUCCCUGGUACAUCUCUGCUGCUAUAAGAAGCCAGCAGGGGUGAACUUUUUAUGAAAUCAGCAGCGUAGCAUUGGUUGUCAGUGCCUGGGAUGGGUGCGCGGGCAUUGGGUGGGGUUUGUGUGUGCCAGGAUGGGGUGGGGGCCCGGCCGGCCAAUGUGGCCCUUGACACUGAGUUGGGCCACACUGGUGAUGCCUGGUUUGCGCCCCCACAAAAAUUGUGUGCCCAGGGCCAUGGCUCCCCCCCCAGCACCCCCCACGCUUUGGCCCUGUAUAAAACUAAUGAAGCUUAAGCUUCAGGGCUCCUAAGAGUCACAUAAGCGACGCUAGUCCACAUUGCUUAAAACUUUGGGGUCUACCACGACUCAAAUUGAUUAAUUUUGUUGUUGUAUAUAUUUCUGCAAAACCAGUGAGGUCCCAACGAAAGAAGAACGGCAACUUAAGCUGAUGGAAUACAUGCAGCUGGCGGACUGAACAUAUAGAAGAAGAUAACAAGAAGAACAUACGUUUAGAGAAGUGUUAUGCAUUGGGUUUAACACAUGUUACAAGGCGCAUUGUAACCAAUCGUAUAAACGUUGGUAGACGAAUGUUCUAAUGGCAAGUAAGCGCAUGCACUUUCAACUGUCAACGGUCAGUUCACGCUCAAAUUUAUUAUUGUGUUGUCCAGUCAGUUUGGUUCUUGUGUUCCUAUGAGUGAGCUGUUGUCACUGACAAAUGUUGAAUAAACUUAGUUGAGGAACUUAUACUGCCUUGGGCUUCUGACUUUUCCGAACAUUUAACAAGAAGAUUGGAAAAUGUUUAUUUGAAUAUAUGGGGGGGGGGGAAUUGUGUACACUUGAAAACGUUGGCAGCGUUAAGAUAAAUUCAACAGUGUAAAUCAGUUUUGAUGGAUAAAGGAAUACUGAAUUGUUUAGUAGUUUAUGCAAAAAAUGCAGGGAUUUAUGAUAUGCAAAAUGAACCAUGGAAAGAGAAGAAGAGAAGUCAUUGAUAUUUUAAGGAUGUUUAAAUGAGUAUUCUAAAAUGAAAAACAGAAAAAGUAAUAAAAAUUAUAUAUAAUGUUGUUGUUGUUGUUGUUGUUGUUGUUGUUGUUGUUGCUGUUGUAGUAUAUACUGUAUUUUUCGCUCUAUAGGACACACCUUUUCCCCUCCAAAAAUGAAUGGGAAAUGUGUGUGCGUCCUAUGGAGCGAAUGCAGGCUUUCGCUGAAGCCUGGAGAGCGAGAGGGGUUGGUGCGCACCGACCCCUCUCGGUCUCCAGGCUUCAGGAAACUUUCUGCAAGGCUUGCGGAUAUCUGCAUCCUGAAGACCGGGGAGCACUGCACAGCGCACCCCGGGCUUUGGGCAGAUAUCCGUAAGCCUGGGGAGCCCGGCGGGAAUUCCCGCUGGGCUCAGAAGGCUUGUGGAUAGCAGCAAGCUUCCAUCCCGCUGGCUGUCUCGGCUUCUUUGCUCUUUGGGAAUGGGGGGGGGGAAUAUUCCCCCCCCCAAAAAAAACCCCUAGGUGAGCCCUAUGGUCCGGUGCGCCCUAUAGAGCGAAAAAUACGGUAUUUCAACAAUCCCAAAGUUUGAGAGUCAGUAGCACAGAUGUAAAGGAGAAGUGUUGUGGUAAGUUGGCUGCUCUACUGUGGCUAAUGCAUUCCUCACCCCAUUUUUAUCAGAGGUUAAGACCCUAGAGGAAUAACUUUGAGUCUCCCAGGUCUCAGUUCAACACCGAACCACGACACCACAAGGGCUCUCAUGGUGCAAGCUGCGUCUGCUCAUUGUGUGAAAGCGUUUUCACACUUGUUGAUUUGCACGGCUCAGAUACUGCAUUCACAGGUACACAAUCUACACACCUGUUGCAAGUUGCAAGUGAAUACCUGUAUGACUGCACAGAGCAACUGUUCAUAUAUACAGGUAUGCAGAUUGUACACUCACUGAAUGUAAUGUGUGAAUGCCUCUGCACUCAGCUAUGAUUAUGAAUGGCAUUCCUGGACUGGAUACAAAUCGGCCUUUCACCACAUGGCUAGUUUCUUUGCUGCUUCUCGGUAAUGUCCAGAGCUGCUCCGAGGUGAAAGGGGUUGUUGAUGCCGCAAAUCUGGGGCACGGAAUUAAUGGCCCACCUGAAAUAUCCUCAUCACCUUCCUUCAACUUAGCAGAUUUUCUUUCCUUCUCUUGUGUUGAUUUUGUUCAUCUCAGAGAUGGAAUUCAUAAGCAGAUUAGGAUCGUGUUGGAGCCUUUGUUGCCAUGGCAACACCAUGCGGCAGUUAUAUGUCUUUCCUUCAAAUCUUGAUUCUGAGGUGACUGGUUAUAUUUAUUCUUGUCCUUUGCAGAAUCUCACAGCGUGAUGGAAAAACUCAUGAAGGUACAGGAAAAUGUUAGGUUAGAGGAAAGUUGUGGCAGCCCAAAGUUGUUUCCGUGAGGCGCAGGUUAAGUGUUAAAUUCAUUACUUUUGACUCAGAAAACCAGAGUUCAGAUUCAUUUUAAAUUACAGGGGUUUUGCUUUUGUUUUAAAAAGAAAUUAUUUCAACUGGUUUCCCAUGGGUGUUGGGCACUGCCCUGCCUACCCUCCCCCUGCCCCCAGGCAUAGUAUAAGAAGCCAGAACAGUUCAUUCAAGAAAAAUGCCUUUCUCAGAGUUUGUCAAAAUGAGUUUCCCUAGUAAUAUAUAAUGGGUUGAACCAGGUCAUUUUCACCAUGGUUGUAAACUCAAAUCUGGACUGUAUCCCUUCAGAUUGCAGGUGGGAAGACUCAUUUGACUGCAAGUGGCUUGAAGUCACCUACAAACGUUCUUGGCAGAGUAGAGAUUUGAGCCUGGAUCUCCCUUGAUCCAGCAUUUGACCACUAGACACCACUGUGUUCUCCUAAUGGUCAUGUAGGUGGGCUCAGUCCUCAAUCAUUCCCAUUAAAAGUCUGUGACCUUUGUCUUUCUAGGUGGUAGAUAAUCAGUGAUUUUUGGAGGGAGCUUGCAUGUUUGGUAUUGAGCUCUUCUCUUCCAUAUCCUCCAUCCACAUCCUUAGAAGGACAGAAAAGGGUGUUUUGAGAACCUGGCAGGAUAUGAGUUCAGCCUUCUGCUUCCAUUUCUCUGUCACGCAACAGUGGCUGAAGUAAAACAGCAACGAAAGUCCACUCUUUCUCCUUACAGUGAUGUCAAGAAUGUCCAAUGAAAUUUCAAGAACCAUGCCAUCAACACUACCACCAUGCCAUCAUCCAACUCUAGUAUUCCUCUAAGCAGAAAAUUAUAAUUAUGAGCAUGGCCCUCCUUGUGUUGUUGUUGUUUAGUCGUUUAAUCGUGUCCGACUCUUCGUGACCUCAUGGACCAGAGCAUGCCAGGCACUCCUGUCUUCCACUGCCUCCCGCAGUUUGGUCAGACUCAUGCUGGUAGCUUUGAGAACACUGUCCAACCAUCUUGUCCUCUGUCGUCCCCUUCUCCUUGUGCCCUCCAUCUUUCCUAACAUCAGGGUCUUUUUCAGGGAGUCUUCUCUUCUCAUGAGGUGGCCAAAGUAUUGGAGCCUCAGCUUUGGGAUCUGUCCUUCCAGUGAGCACUCAGGGCUGAUUUCCUUAAGAAUUGAGAGGUUUGAUCUUCUUAUGGUCCUCCUUAUCCUCCCAUAAUUCCUGGCCACUAGGCUGAUGGGAGCAACUUCUAGAGGGCCAAAGUUCCCUUGCACCUUCUUUAGAGUCAACGGGGCCACUUUCAAAGCCACAGCACAGAUAUUUGCUAAGUUCUCCUCCCGUUGCUGGCUAAAGUCGGCUAGAUCUUCUACCACUGACAACCCACUUUUAAAGUUGCGCCUUUCAAGCUGUUGAACUGCCCUUCACCAUCUCGGCGUCCUUAGCCUCCCUCAAGAAUUCUGAGCUGUCAAGCUGAUUAGCCGCCAACGGCAUUAAUUCUAAAAGUUUCGGGCUUCACUUAUAUUGUCUGCGCAGCAUUACCUUGCCGAAGUAUUAACCCAAGCCAAAUUAUUCACUCGUGAAACUGCUGUCAAGCCACGCCACCAUCUUGCUUGCUGUCAAAGCCACACACCCCAAGGAGUCUCUGAUUCUAGCUUUUCCCCCCUUGCCUAACUUUUGUGGGGUUUUGUUUUUUUGUUUUUGGAAGAGGCAGCGAUUCCUCUAAGCAGCAGAACAGGCACUCACCAAAAGAUCUGCGUAGACAACAGGGGAGCCAGCUAAUUACAUUUUAAUUAUGAAAAAUGAUUUGCGUUAAACUAUAAUUUCUGGUAGCAACCACACGGUGGCAAUCAUGUUCUUUGCUAUCAGAUUAAUGACGGGGAUGGAUCACAAGGUCACUUUGCGAGCAGAUAAAUAUUUGCACCGAUCCUACAAUCCUUUCUUCCUUUUCCGUUAUUAUUCUGAUUUCUCUUAUUAGCGGCGAUGAAUCAGGGAACUUAUCAUAACAUCCCACCUGCGCCUGAUUUCUGCAACUGUUAAUCUGGUCCCUUCGCUUACUUCCAUUAGCGAGCCUUGUUGCAGCCUUUUUUCAUUUCCCUCUGUGUAGGGAAAAAAGGAAAGUUAUUCUGUGAUGUCAUCUUUGCAUUCAUUUCAGCCGAGCGCUUCGCAUCUAAGAUUUGCUAUUUCACAGAAUAGUACAGGUAUCUGACUGAAUGGCAACUGAUAAACACAAGAACCACAAGUAGCAAAACCCACCCCUGCGGAUUGGCAGCAGCAUUCCUGGGCCUCGUCCUUGAGGCAGCGGAGGCAGUUAUUUAAUAUUUAACCAUCCCUUUGAUCGUUUCCUUAAAAUUUAUUUACCCAGGAAAGAUGCACCAUCUGGCUGGAGGGGAGUGAAGCAGCCUUUUCUCCUCCUUUCUCCUAAGCGAGAUGGAUAGAAGGUCAGGAGAUGGAUCUUACUUUUAAACCUCUUCCAGCCGGAGCUCAGAACUACGAUUGAAGCUUCCAGGGCACCAUCACGCCGGUCAAAGCUUUAGCAGAAGCGCUGAUCGCUAGAUCUACAACUGCUGUUGCUUCAUCUGUUAAUUUGCAGUUGUUUUGCUGCAAUGGUUUUUUUUUUUAAAAAAAAAACUAUACUAAAAUGGGCACAGUUUGUGCUUUAACGUAACAUUCAAAUAAAGUAGCACCCCAUUUUGUAAGCAAUGUUUUAAUGUUAAAUACAAGAAAUAGAGCUGUAACAGUGCAUGGGGUGCAUCACACACACACACACACACACACAUGAUAUAUAUGUGAAUGUAAGAAAUAUAUGGAAUGGAACAUUAACCUAGCCCCAGUGCUUUUUUUCUGAGGGGUCACAGGGGGAUGCAUACCCCUAAACAUUUUGUGAAUCUUUGUACUUUGGUCCAUUUACUGUAUUUGUUUUCCCCAAUUUGAAUGAUAUGGUGAUUUUCUUGAGUCCAAAUGAGAAUAUCCCUAAACAUAUUUUAGAAAGAAAGCACUGCCUAGACCAGGGGUCAGCAAACUUUUCAGAAGGGGGCUGGUCCACUGUCCCUCAGACCUUGUGGGGGGAUCGAAAUAUGUAUAUAUUGUAUAUAUAUAUAAGAUAUAUUUUAUAUAUAUUGGGGGAAUGAACGAAUUCCUAUGCUCCACAAAUAACCCAGAGAUGCAUUUUUUUUAAAAAGGACACAUUCAACUCAGGGUUGCCAUGGGGUGGCGGUGGGGGGGGGGAGUGGUUGAGCGUUUUUUAGUUUUGCCCAAACUUGUUGAGCUUGCUUUUUUAAAAUAAUAAUAAUUCCAGAGUGUUUUAACAGCCAAUCUCUCUUCCCAGGGAUCUCUGAGAAUUAUAACUCUGUGAGGGGCAGUGGCGGAGGGGUGCGGAGGGAUAGCCACUCAAGUGCAUCUAGGGGCAGAGCUGUAGGCGCUUGUCUUCCAGGCAAAAUGAAAAGCGCACCCGCCGAUCCCGCUUCCUUCCUCUCCCCUUCCCACCCCCCUCUGCUCACCUGCCUCCUUCCCGUCCUCUCCCCUGUUUGCCCACCUGCCUCCUCCAGCCAGCAGCACGAGGCAAUGGUGCCAUGCCCACCCGCGACUCCCAAGCCUACCGUGAGCCGUCGGGGGAAGAGGGGAGCUGCUGCGCCACUUUGCCGCUUUGCCGGAGUCGCGGUCGGGUGGUGCACCGAAUGUCACCCCCCCAGGGAUGACACCCAGGGUUCCUCUGCCACUGGUGAGGGGCCCUCCUAACAACUUGUCAGCACCUAAUACCACCACCUCUCUCCCUCUCCCUCCCUCCACCCCCCUCUCUCUUUCUCUGUGUCUGAAUUGAUUUUAGAAUACAUUUCAAUUACAGUGGUACCUCGGGUUAAGUACUUAAUUCUUUCAGGAGGUCCGUUCUUAACCUGAAACUGUUCUUAACCUGAGAUACCACUUUAGCUAAUAGGGCCUCCCGCUGCCGCCACGCAAUUUCUGUCCUCAUCCUGAAGCAAAGUUCUUAACCCAAGGUAUUAUUUCUGGGGUAGCGGAGUCUGUAACCUGAAGCGUAUGUAACCCGAGGUACCACUGUAAUUGAUUUUGAUUUUAUGUAAACUGCGUUACUUUUACUGUUGUCAGCCGCUCUGUGCCUGGCUUCGGCUGGGGAGGGUGGGAUAUAAAUAAAAAAAUAUUUAUUAUUAUUAUUAUUAUUAUUAUUAUUAUUAUUAUUAUUGGCAGGGAGAGGCAAACGGGAAAAGAUGAAAGAACAGAAACCAGCAGUUAUAGAGAGCCUAAAGAGAUUAUCAGCAGCUUGUUGUCCGACAGUCAGUCUGACGUAGAGGGGGAGGAGGAUGAGCCUGGGACAAGUCAUGCUGUACACAGAGGAAGUAAGGGGAGGAGUUUUCGCAGACUUGCAUGCUGGGUGCGGAAAAGGAGGAAGUAACAUUAGAGGGAGCAACUGCGCACAAGGGGAAGGAGGUUAAUGGAAAUGCUGGAGAUGUACGUUUGAACUUUGUCAAAUAAAUCAAUUGUUUGGGACUGGCUGGGAGCCCAGAGUCUUAUCUAUGGCCAGCUGGACAGCACUAAGCCUCUGACAAUUAUUAUUAUUAUUAUGUGUGGAGCAGGCUCCCUGUUAAUAAAUGUCUGCCGCCUGGUGUGUGUGUGUGUGUGUGUGUGUGUGUGUGUGUGUGACAGUAAUGAUGAGGUGACAGGGCCACCAAUGGCAUGACUACAUCCUUCCCUUCACCGGGGCGAAACUAAGCUUUAUUUCACCCAGGUCAAAGACCCAGUUUGGCACCCACCCACGUGCAUUUUCGUACACACACAUACACAAGCUGGGAGCCUCAAUUGCGCUCCUCUGGAGGUUUCACCCAGGGCAACCCCCCCCCCAUAGCUACAGCUCUGCCUCCACACAAUUCCCACUGCACGAGGUUCAGACAUCCUGAUCAGUCACAGCCUCGGCAGAUCUUCUUCGUUCCUAGAUGAUCCUCCCUCAAGUCUGAGGAGCGAAGUGAUGAAGAUAGCCUCGUGUUCUCUUUGUUUCUGACAGCGCUGCAAAGCUUGUCUUGUGGUGAAGUACGUAGCCACAGGCAAAGAAGGUCUUGGUGCUCUUCGCGCAGCUUAGAUGUGCCACAAGAGUGAUAAUAAGAUUAGCUCGCAGAAACCAAAGCGUUUGACCUUGGUCUCUGCUAUAAGACUUUAUGCACCAGGGAAGUGUUAAUGGUAUGUCUAAAUCCACUAGUCUUUAAAAAAGAUUAAGUGCCAGAGGAAGUUGUAUUUCCUUCACUAAGGCUGGUGUUUGUCCCAGGAUAGCAGUGGGAAGCAACACCCCCCUUUUUUUGGACGCACCGCUUUGCAGACAUGGAUUGGCUGUUUUAAAGGGUCUCCCUUCAGCACCCACAGGUGGGAACAUCACCCAUAUCUACAGAAGGGAAGGCCUGGGGAAAAAUCGGAAAAAUUGGGGGGGGGGGACCAGGGUUUCCCCUGUUUUUUCUGUCCUCCCCCUUUUUUUCAAUUUUUUUCCAGUCUUUUUUUCCAGAAAAAAUGGGGGUAAAAAAAUCAAACCAAAAACCAAAACAGUUUGAUAUAGUUUGGAUAUCCCACCCCCCCUAAUUUUUCUGGGGGGAAAAUGGAAAAAAACCUGUCACCCUCCCCCCAAUUUUUCCGGGACCUUCCCAUCUCUACCUGUAUCCAUGAAUAGCAACUAAGGUGGAUGCAGGAACAGGUUCACAGAGUCAUCUGGGUAAAGUAACUAUCCCAAUGUAAUAAUAAUUCCCAAGGAAUAUCUGUCAGAGACAGGCAGAGGAGUCACUCCUCAGGUUUCCCCACAAGUGCCUGCUGUUGCCAUGUCUCUCAAACUUUCCCUCAGGAAAGGAUACAGUGGUACCUCGUGUUAUAUACGCUUCAGGUUACAUACGCUUCAGGUUACAGACUCCGCUGACCCAGAAAUAGUGCUUCAGGUUAAGAACUUUGCUUCAGGAUGAGAACAGAAAUCGUGCUCCGGCGGCGCAGCAGCAGCAAGAGGCCCCAUUAGCCAAAGUGGUGCUUCAGGUUAAGAACAGUUUCAGGUUAAGUAUGGACCUCCGGAACGAAUUAAGUACUUAACCCGAGGUACCAUUGUACACUUCUUUGAUUUAAAGGUAAUGACCGCUCCCCGCUUAAAACGGGGGGUGUCCUUUGCGUGGACGCUCGCAGCCCCUAGAUCUGGAGCGGCUCCAACAGCAUAGGCUUGGUUUGCCUUCCCUCAGGUGGGAUACCUGGAGGUCUCCGCCUACCUCAGUCAGUUGUCCAAUCCCACCUGGGCGUAGCGUUGCCUAGGAGACCAGGCCAGGUAGGGCAGGGAUUACCUGCCCACACAGCAGAGUGAACGCGAUCUUACCUGAUCGGAAGUCCUCACUUGGCUCCAGAGCUUCACCCACCCUACCCACCGCUCCAUGUUACUGUCUAUAUUUGUCAGAGUCAACUUGUUCUGAUCACAGGUUUUGCAGGUUAACUUUUCUUCGCAGGUAUGCGGGCGCUGCUACGUUAAGGUUGCUGUUAAAGGGCCGGAAAGGAAUUUCCCUGCAUUGGCAGGUUUCGCCUUUCCCGUAGCAAAACGUCACAACUUUGGCGGUAUCAGGCCUUGGGCGGAAUCCUUUAGUCCAUUUUCCUCUUUGCGGCGGCGAUACCAGGGUUCUCCGUUAAAGGGGUUUCUGAAGGGAGGCUUUGACCGUACGCCAAGAGGUCGUAAUUGCUCUCCCCUGCGGCGGCGGCGUAACGGAGGCGGCUAUCUCUGGUUGAACAUAUGUUCUCCAGAGCCGGCCCAUCCCCCCCACAUACACACUGGAUAACCCUGAUGCUCCCUAGAUUCCCAGCUGGGGACUGGGGAGGGAUAACGCCCAAUGCCUGAGCCAAGGUCUACCCACAUUUGAAAUUUAAUAAAGUUGUAGCCAAUUUAAUCCCAUAGCACGUUGUCAUGAGUCGUUAUUCCACAUGACGGGGGGACCGCACGGGAUCUGGGGACUCCGCCUGUCCACGCAAUAGUGAAAGUAAGAAAUGUAUAUUAAGUGAAUAGAUUGGAAAAUUUUCAGUCAUGAUUGAUGGAAGUCCAAAAAAAUUGUAUAAGAUGUAAAAGUAUGUUUAAUUACUUGAAAAUGAUAUGUUAAAAACUAAUAAAAGUAUAUAUCUAUAUGAAAGACAGGACUUUUUACCUCAUACUCCGAGAUCUUGUUCUCCGGAUGCCUUAGGUAUCACAACACCCAACAGAACCUGUGCCAAAUAUCUAAAGGAUCUACUACUCCCCUCCCACCGAAGAGCUUUUAUGCUCACGAGAUUAACUGCUUUCCCUUCUGCAGUGACCAAUGGCAGAUUCACACAUACUCCAUAUCAAGCCUGUCUGUGUGCCUGCAACCAAAGAGAAUCUGAUUCAAUGGACCACAUUCUCUUAGACUGCUCUUUACACAGCAGACCUCGCCAACUGAUGCUGAGCAAAAUGUUGGACCUCUGGCAUAUAACUCCAAGAAGAAACCGAACAAGGUUUCUCCUGGCAGAUCAGGACAAAGAUAUCACUGCUCCUGUAGCUUCCUUUUUAUUUUACUUUUUUCAAAAAAAAAUAAAAUUAUUCAUUUUAUAACACAAAUAAACAACACAAACAAAAAAACAAACAACACAAACAAAUUCUUCUCUUAUCCUUAUUUUUUCUAAACAUUGUUAGGUGGGCUUCCCCAAGUCCCCCCUAUCUGAUUUUCAUUUUACUUCAUCUUUAGCAGUUUACAUAUGUCAUAAUUUCUAACAUUUUUUUUAUCACGCUUACUUUUUCCAUAAAAAUCUACACAUUUUAUCACUUACAAAUAAUACUAUUUUAGAAUACACUAUCUUCUAACCCUACAGGCUAUAUCCACUUCCAAAGCUAUUCUAAGAUUUAAAUAUUAACAUCUUUUUUCAAAUAUUCCUUAAACUUCUUCCAAUCUUCUUCCACCGUCUCUUCUCUCUGGUCUCAGAGUCUCCCAGUCAGUUCGGCAUGUUCCAUAUAGUCCAUCAUCUUCAUCUGACAUGUAGCUUCCUUUUAGCCACAAUUUUACCCGAAAGGGUUCCUAACGAACCAUCCCUUUGGAGAACAGACAUAUAUAAGCAGAAUAUAUAAGUGCACACAAUCCCAGUGUGACCUAUAACCUUUGACAGCUUCGCCUUUGUCCUUUUAAUUAUCCCAGUGAUUUUCAAUGUUUUAUACUGUGAUGCCAAUAAAGGUAUUUGGUAUUUGAUAUUGGAUUCUAUACUAACUCUGCAGGGCUUCUGACAUGGGACACUCCCAGCCCUACCUGUUAUGCGGUUCUGUUUUAUGGGCCCAUAUUCUGCCCACAUUUCCGGUCUGAAGAGCUCACAAGUGGCUGCAUUGGACUGUGUAGCGUCUGUGUGGAUUUGCUCCAAGAAUCCCUUGCGCAUUUUCCUGGAGAGGACAAAACAGAUUUCACAAACUGCUGCUAGAACCCGAUCAGAAAGAUUUCCCCCUGCCCCCUUUCCUUUUCCACCAGAGAAGCCCGGUCUUCUUUUAUUCUUUCAAAAGUCCUUUCCGUAUUUAGCGGGAGCGGCAGCCAAGGCGCUGGGAACAUUCCCACAAAGGCAGCCAUUUCUCUGGGCCUACCUUCUCAUGUGGAGUGCUCUCCCCUUUGGUUCAAAGUGGUCCCUCUUAUCUUUUACUAUUCCUGCCGCCGCGGAAAGAAAACAGCGUGGGGCCCCCCAGAACGCUAAUGUGCACCAACCAGCGAAGAAAGGCUUCAAAUGGGUAUUUGUUCGCAGGGUCCACCGCUUCCAGAAAUGCAGGCCUCCAUUUAUCUCCUUUCGCUUCUUUGUACCGGCACCCUUCCUACCCCUCCUCAAGCCUCCUUUUCAAAGAUAUUAAUAAUGAACAUAUUUUCUCCAUGGAUGCUUUCAGUCAGCCUGAAUAGCUCCAGAGCAUCCUCAGAUUUCUCCCUGAUUCUGCUUCCUUCACAGGCUUACAGCAGCUACUAUUAUGCUAUAAGAUCCACUGUCCUGUGAUAUCAUAUAUGGGAUGUACGGUUGUUGACGAUUGUAAAUUUUUUUUUGCUGUAAAAAUAUGUGAGAUUACGAUAUUGUAUUUCUCUGCAUUAUCUAGAGUUUGUACUACUGAUGAAGCCCAGGACGGUGAAACAAGGCUAAUAUUCCAGAAAUCCUUGUCUUAGACUCUGUGAAAGGAUUCUGUGGAACUGUAACAACCUUUCGUAUGGAUUGUUGGACUCUAUGAACAGACAGGUGGAAUAGAAACUUACACAUAUAUGGACCUUAUGCACGAACUGAUUAGAGAAUGAACUGAUCCACUGGGUCUUCUACCUUUUUUGUUGAACUUUAUGAGCUACUUCUGUU